CUGAAACACACUAUGCCAAGGUCUAAUUUAAAGGGUUGGGAAGUGGAAUAUUUACGUUUCUGCCUUUGAUGCAGUGGAUGGAAGAAGUUGGAUCUUCCUGCAGAUCUUGAAGCAUGAAACGAGCAGACUUGGCUCUCUUGAGCUUUGGGUGGAAGAAAUCUGUAGUUUCUGGAACACGCAGACUGGAGAUUUCUAGAAGUGGUGGUUCGAUGUCGGGAACACGCCGACGUCUUUAUCCUUGAGCGUAGAAAUCUGUAUCUUCUGGAACACGCAGAAAUUGGAGAUUUCUGGAGGUGGUGGUUCGAUGCUGGGAACACGCCGAUGCCUUUUCUUUGAAGGUAGAGUUCCUGGAAAUCUGGGACACGCAGAUUUUUGGAGGUGGUGGCCUUGAUGCGAUGGUUCAGACGCCUUGGAAAAAGCACUGUGAAUCCAAUUACCAAAUCCUUGCUGGAACACGCAGCAAAAGGUCUGAUGUCUAGGACAAAACCCCGCAAACCACCAUGAACCACACUUUGACCACUCUUCAACCACCUUUUAGGACACAC
Molecule: non-coding RNA, 545 nt
Organism: Danio rerio (zebrafish)
Lineage: Eukaryota; Metazoa; Chordata; Actinopteri; Cypriniformes; Danionidae
Source: Ensembl